AAUAAAAUGGCCGAAUUAUAAGCAUUAAAUUGUAAGUUUAAUUAUGAAAUUAAAAUUUCUUUUAUUA
Molecule: transfer RNA, 67 nt
Filed under: Pseudoclavellaria amerinae
Lineage: Eukaryota; Metazoa; Arthropoda; Insecta; Hymenoptera; Cimbicidae
Description: tRNA-Tyr
Source: RNAcentral